UGGGGAAUCUUGCGCAAUGGGCGAAAGCCUGACGCAGCGACGCCGCGUGAGCGAUGAAGGCCUUCGGGUUGUAAAGCUCUGUGGAGAGGAAAGAAUAAGGGCAAGCUAAUACCUUGUCUGAUGACGGUACCUCUUUAGCAAGCACCGGCUAACUCUGUGCCAGCAGCCGCGGUAAGACAGAGGGUGCAAACGUUGUUCGGAAUUACUGGGCGUAAAGCGCGUGUAGGUGGCUACGCAAGUCGGGUGUGAAAACCCACGGCUCAACCGUGGAAGUGCACUCGAAACUGCGCGGCUAGAGUCCUGGAGAGGAAGGUGGAAUACUUGGUGUAGAGGUGAAAUUCGUAGAUAUCAGGUAGAACACCGGUGGCGAAGGCGGCCUUGUGUACAGUGACUGUCACUGAGACGCGAAAGCGUGGGGAGCAAACA
This 426-nucleotide ribosomal RNA is filed under the name uncultured prokaryote. Its description in RNAcentral is "bacterial SSU rRNA". It matches the Rfam family "Bacterial small subunit ribosomal RNA", at positions 355 to 774 of the family's 1533-position model. The record is from RNAcentral.